This 378-nucleotide ribosomal RNA is filed under the name uncultured eukaryote. RNAcentral describes it as "partial 18S ribosomal RNA". It matches the Rfam family "Eukaryotic small subunit ribosomal RNA", at positions 592 to 976 of the family's 1831-position model. The record is from RNAcentral.
CAAUAGCGUAUAUUUAAGUUGUUGCAGUUAAAAAGCUCGUAGUUGGAUUUCGGGUGGGACGCAGCGGUCUCGCAUUGCGUUUGUACUGCUGCAGCCCUCCUUCUUGCCGGGGGCGGCCUCUCGGACUUCACUGUCUGGGGGUCAGAAUCGGCGAUGUUACUUUGAGUAAAUUAGAGUGUUCAAAGCAAGCUUACGCUCUGAAUAUAAUAGCAUGGGAUAACACGACAGGACUCUGGCCUAUCGUGUUGGUCUAUAGGACCAGAGUAAUGAUUAAGAGGGACAGUCGGGGGCACUCGUAUUCCGUUGUCAGAGGUGAAAUUCUUGGAUUUACGGAAGACGAACAUCUGCGAAAGCAUUUGCCAAGGAUGUUUUCAUUGA